Long non-coding RNA from Daphnia pulicaria, 972 nucleotides. RefSeq lists it as uncharacterized. Lineage: Eukaryota; Metazoa; Arthropoda; Branchiopoda; Diplostraca; Daphniidae. The transcript is spliced from 2 exons. The record is from RefSeq and is a predicted model, not a curated record.
UUCGAGCUCAAGCAGACGACGUUAAUUUCACUUUUUUCUUCGAGUCAGCAGUCAGCACGUUGCUGCAACUUGGGCCCUCAUAAGCCAAGACUGAACUGAAGCACGAUGGAUGUCCUUGGAGAAAGUCGUCUUACGAAAGCCUCGUAACUCGUAAGGAGUUUCACAAUUCAAAGUGCUGGACGCAUCAAAGUAUCAUUGAUGAACAUGAAUACUCUUUUGCUUUUAGCAGGAAGGGGAGAUCCUUGAGCUGUUAGGAAGAAAAGUUUCUCUUGCUUUCUCUGUUUUAGAAAUUGUGUGUGGUGGGGGGGAGGGUGUAGGGGAAUGUAUGGGUAUCUAUCUUUGAUUGGUCAUCUUUAAGGGAAGAGUUUUGGACUUUAGAGGAGGUUUCCCCUCACGUGUAUACUUGCACUUAUUUUUUGAAUAGUCCAUUAACCGAAACUACUAUAGGGAACUUGUGUUGAAGUUGUAGGAAAGCAACACGUAGUGCUAAUGAGACAGGGUUCCAAGAUUCACUUAGAACAUUUAAUAAAAAUUUACUUCUUUGCUGUAGUGAUAAUGUUUAACAAUUUUUUUCUAGAUACUCUAAAAGCUGGUUAAGUUGACAUUCAGUUGAACAAAAUCUGCAAAGCCAGUCGUAUAUCUUUAAUAAAUGAAGGAAAUCACAAAUCAGUUUAGAUUGCAGCGUACAAACAGAAAAUCAGUCUCGAGGCUUUUGUGCAGUUGUUUUAAUAGCGUGUAGUUGUGUUCUUUACUUUUUAUUGUGUAAAAUUUUGGUAGUCUUGUAACCAAGCAUUCUAUUCACACAAAAAACUUAUUAAAAUUUUUACGAAAGAUAGUGGUAGCUAUUACAUACCUAAAGUACAAAUUCUUUUACUUCGGAACUAAGUUUUAUAUUUAAUUGUUGGAUAUUUAACAAAGAUGAAGUGUAUGAAUAUAGAACACAAGAAAUAAAACCGAAUAUUGAAAAUUGAA